CCGGAGCUAAUAACUUCUCUGAGAGCCGUUUCGUCGGCUUUCUUCACGGCGUUCCACCAGGGAGCUUCGUACUCGGCGAUCACGUCCUUGGCUAUGUAAUCUGAAGGAACCCAUGUGGGUACGUGAUCGUCCUUCCACUCUAUUAAGUACUCCAUCCCACUGCCAUUUUCGAGUGCCCUACUCCCGAUUAUUUUGUUCACUUCUCCGUAGCUCUCAUCUUCAUUGUAAUCGUCGAAUACUUUUGCAGAUUCAUGGCUUUCGACGGUGGCGGACAGUGAGAAAUUCGUGGCGCUUCUUGGAAAAAGGAGAUGGGUUUUGAAGGGGAAGGGGAGACGAGGAGCGAUGUUUACAGCAUUGGUAUUGCAAAUGGUGAAACUGAGAUGUGGAG
RNAcentral lists this long non-coding RNA (388 nucleotides) under Olea europaea (common olive). RNAcentral describes it as "long non-coding RNA (OEUR_LNC002754)". The record is from RNAcentral. Lineage: Eukaryota; Viridiplantae; Streptophyta; Magnoliopsida; Lamiales; Oleaceae.